Non-coding RNA from Schistocerca americana (American grasshopper), 74 nucleotides. The record is from the annotation of a RefSeq genome assembly. Lineage: Eukaryota; Metazoa; Arthropoda; Insecta; Orthoptera; Acrididae.
GCUUGGGUAGCUCAGAUGGUAGAGCACUUGCCUGUGAAAGGCAAAGGUCCCGAGUUCGAGUCUCGGGUCGGGCA